Molecule: ribosomal RNA, 435 nt
Filed under: uncultured bacterium
Lineage: Bacteria
Description: bacterial SSU rRNA
Rfam family: Bacterial small subunit ribosomal RNA
Source: RNAcentral
CAGGCCUAACACAUGCAAGUCGAACGAGCCUUUCGGCCGCUAUGGCGUACGGGUGAGUAACGCGUGGGAACGUGCCCAAAGGUGGGGAACAACCGAGGGAAACUUCGGCUAAUACCCCAUGUGCCCUAACGGGGAAAGAUUUAUCGCCUUUGGAGCGGCCCGCGUCUGAUUAGCUAGUUGGUGAGGUUAUGGCUCACCAAGGCGACGAUCAGUAGCUGGUCUGAGAGGAUGAUCAGCCACACUGGGACUGAGACACGGCCCAGACUCCUACGGGAGGCAGCAGUGGGGAAUAUUGGACAAUGGGCGCAAGCCUGAUCCAGCCAUGCCGCGUGAGUGAUGAAGGCCUUAGGGUUGUAAAGCUCUUUUACCCGGGAUGAUAAUGACAGUACCGGGAGAAUAAGCUCCGGCUAACUCCGUGCCAGCAGCCGCGGUAAU